AGUGAACGCUGGCGGUAGGCCUAACACAUGCAAGUCGAACGGCAGCACAGUAAGAGCUUGCUCUUACGGGUGGCGAGUGGCGGACGGGUGAGGAAUACAUCGGAAUCUACUUUUUCGUGGGGGAUAACGUAGGGAAACUUACGCUAAUACCGCAUACGACCUACGGGUGAAAGCAGGGGAUCUUCGGACCUUGCGCGAUUGAAUGAGCCGAUGUCGGAUUAGCUAGUUGGCGGGGUAAAGGCCCACCAAGGCGACGAUCCGUAGCUGGUCUGAGAGGAUGAUCGGCCACACUGGAACUGAGACACGGUCCAGACUCCUACGGGAGGCAGCAGUGGGGAAUAUGGGACAAUGGGCGAAAGCCUGAUCCAGCCAUACCGCGUGGGUGAAGAAGGCCUUCGGGUUGUAAAGCCCUUUUGUUGGGAAAGAAAAGCAGCAGGUUAAUACCCCGCUGUUCUGACGGUACCCAAAGAAUAAGCACCGGCUAACUUC
Molecule: ribosomal RNA, 489 nt
Filed under: uncultured bacterium
Lineage: Bacteria
Description: partial 16S ribosomal RNA
Rfam family: Bacterial small subunit ribosomal RNA
Source: RNAcentral